RNAcentral lists this small RNA (621 nucleotides) under Halalkalibacter krulwichiae. The record is from RNAcentral. Lineage: Bacteria; Bacillati; Bacillota; Bacilli; Caryophanales; Bacillaceae.
AUAGCUAAACAUGAGAGUGGUGCAGUAUUCUAGUCAGUUCUCCGUUCUUGAAGGCGGGGCUAAAAAUCCGCCAAAGGGCACAUCGAUGAAGCUCCUUGUCUUGGCUUGAGGCGCCCAGCUUUGGGUCUUGACUGGGAGAUAAGGUAGUAGGGCGAUCCACAAAGGCAUGUGGGCGUUGACCCUCCUACCGUGGAGGCCGUUUGCUCGGUCCUUAUACGAAUAAGUGUACAAGGGCAAAUGGUAUGAACCUGCAACGGCAUGCUAGGGAGCUUGUCUGCAGCGUAGCCUGCCUUGAGUGGAGUUAGAGGGGAUUAUGGAAAUGAAGCGAAAAGCUGUCGGCCAACACCUUUUUGCUUUUACCCAUAUGAAAUCUACUCUGCAAAAGAGGAUAAGAGAACGGCAAGGAAUUGCUGAGGAAAACUCCUAGACUGUUCAUUAGACAUUUAAAGAGGAUUGCAGUGUAGACUAAGUGGUAAUCCAGUCUGACGCUUGGUGACAACGUCAAUAUCAGUAUAAAGGGAAACCGCCAUUCUGGCGACAGAGUGGUUCUGAUAUGGGAAAUCCUACUGGACCUAAGCUACAGAGUUUACUCUUUAAAUGACCACUCCAAAUUAAUACAUA